GAUGAACGCUAGCGACAGGCCUAACACAUGCAAGUCGAGGGGCAGCACGAGUAGCAAUACUUGGUGGCGACCGGCGCAAGGGUGCGUAACGCGUGAGCAACAUGCCCGUAUCAGGGGGAUAAUCCAGGGAAACUUGGUCUAAUACCCCAUAGUAAUCAUAUCAGGCAUCUGGUAUGAUUUAAAGCUUAGGUGGAUACGGAUUGGCUCGCGUGACAUUAGCUAGAUGGUAAGGUAACGGCUUACCAUGGCUAUGAUGUCUAGGGGUUCUGAGAGGAAGGUCCCCCACACUGGAACUGAGACACGGUCCAGACUCCUACGGGAGGCAGCAGUGAGGAAUAUUGGACAAUGGAUAGAAAUCUGAUCCAGCCAUGCCGCGUGAAGGACGACGGUCCUAUGGAUUGUAAACUUCUUUUGUAUGGGAGCAAUAAGGUCUACGUGUAGAUCGAUGAGAGUACCAUACGAAUAAGC
Molecule: ribosomal RNA, 468 nt
Filed under: uncultured bacterium
Lineage: Bacteria
Description: bacterial SSU rRNA
Rfam family: Bacterial small subunit ribosomal RNA
Source: RNAcentral